GAUGAAGAACGUAGCGAACUGCGAUAAGUAAUGUGAAUUGCAGAAUUCAGUGAAUCAUCGAGUCUUUGAACGCACAUUGCGCCCCCUGGCAUUCCGGGGGGCAUGCCUGUCCGAGCGUCAUUGCUGCCCUUCAAGCCCGGCUUGUGUGUUGGGUCGUCGUCCCCCCCGGGGGACGGGCCCGAAAGGCAGCGGCGGCACCGCGUCCGGUCCUCGAGCGUAUGGGGCUUUGUCACCCGCUCGAUUAGGGCCGGCCAGGCGCCAGCCGGCGUCUCCAACCUUCUAUUUUACCAGGUUGACCUCGGAUCAGGUAGGGAUACCCGCUGAACUUAAGCAUAUCAAUAAGCGGAGGA
Molecule: unclassified non-coding RNA, 350 nt
Filed under: soil metagenome
Description: partial contains 5.8S ribosomal RNA, internal transcribed spacer 2, and large subunit ribosomal RNA
Rfam family: 5.8S ribosomal RNA (bases 1-120)
Source: RNAcentral